Molecule: long non-coding RNA, 2883 nt
Organism: Megalobrama amblycephala (Wuchang bream)
Lineage: Eukaryota; Metazoa; Chordata; Actinopteri; Cypriniformes; Xenocyprididae
Exons: 4
Source: RefSeq, a predicted model, not a curated record
ACAGUGUUAAACAGUGCGAGAUCAGGUUUUAGAUUUAGAUUAUUUUUGGAAAAAAAUAUAAAUGCAAAAUAAAGAAAUCAACUAUGGAAAUGCACUACAACAAGUAAAAUGUUUGUUGUAUCUCCAACAGUCCAAGAAACUCAAGGACAGUCAAGAGGUAGAUGAAGAAUUGUAAGUGAAUCCUAUGGAUCUGGUCCGUGUGUCCUCUCCUCGCCCCAUCCUAAGAUCCUCAAGAAAAUCAUCACAAAAGGAAGUCUCAGAUGCUGCCUGUCUUCCUCUGUCCAGGUGUGAAUGUUCUUCGCUGUUCUCUUCUGAACAAAUCAUCAAUGUUCUCCUCAUUCUGAGAAUCAGGCACUAAUGUGAGUUUGUGUCAGACUUUGUGUUUCAAGGAGUUUUCUGGAGGAUUUUCAGAAAAAAAUGUGCAUCAGUUUCCAACCGAAGGCCAAUCUCAAGAAGACCAGACCCACAAAACCAUUUUCUCCCUAUGUCCUUUAUCUGUUUUUCUCAUUUAAUGGAAACAUUUUCUUCAACAUUUCAGCAAAUCAGCCCAAAUGCUUCCCAAAGAUCUUCCGGGAUGCUCUGGAGUCAGAUAUUACACAAGAUGUUUCAAAGCAUGAGUAUAGGUUAUGAUACAUAGGGCAACUUUUUGAGCAAUUUUGCCGAGCGAUGUUGCUUGGACGCUUUCCCUUUGAGAAUGGGCAAUGCUGGAUACUUUAGAUCAAAAUUUGUUGCCCGUUCUCAGUGGGAAAGUGCCCAAUCUGCCCUGUGUAUCAUCACUGUGUUAGACAAAUAUGAUGAAACCUGGCAGAUGAUGAUAAUAGCAUGUCUAGAGACAGAGUUCAACAUGAACCUAAGGACGUGAAGAUACAUCUCUCUGAUGGAGCCUGGAGUCGUUUGACUGGAUUCACUGCCCUAUCCUCGGAGAACAUUCUGUUCAACAUUUGCUAAACGGCUUUUCUGACCUCUGCUCAAAGGAGGACAGGGAGUAUGAUGUUUGGAUGCUCAGUAGAGCUUGAGGAACAUCUCCUGUUUAGAUUUACAGCAUUUGAGUUCUUAAAAUCAAACUCUGUCACAGACUGAAAAGCCUGGAGUUCUGGAGUCUAACUGGAUGUCACUUGUCAAUAUCUGGUUAAACUUCACACCAGAACCACAACAUCUGUGAUAUUUCACUUUUCUGUUUCAGUGUGACUGCAUAAGAUGGUCAUUAUGUAUGUUAAAAUGUAUGUUUGGUGCUUUUAAAUAAUGUAAGCUGGGUGUUUGGAAUGUGUCAUCAGUGCCUCUUGACAGAAUUAUUAUGAUUAUUUCCACAUUAAAUGUUUAUAUUUAGUUCAUGUAGCACAGUGUAAAAGACCAUCAGGUGACGCUGGUUCUUCUGUGUGAUUGGAUGGUUAUAAAUUAGUCUGUCAGAAUCUGCUCCUGUUUUUCUAAACAUUGCAGUAUUAAAGUCAACAUGAAAUCAUAAUAGGAUUUAUUUUGAGUGCAAAAAUAAAAUCCUUUUUUUCCCUCAAUAAAUUGUUUGUUUCAUUCAGAAAUAAGUCACGUUAUACUGACAGAUAGCACACUAAAUUAUACCAGAUGAAUAUUUGUCAAAUGCAGUUUGAAAUAUACUUUAUAUGUCCCACGUUAUACAAUUAAACAGAAUUGAGAAUUGAUAAAUGUCACUAAGUCCCAAACUUAGUGAAGGAAUCUCAAUAAAGAUGACAUGAUCAUAAAUGGUGUCAGAAAGAAAUGACCAUUUAUUUGCUGUUUUCAUAUCCAUAAGAUCUUGCAUGUUACUGUUAAAGAUGUGGAACUCAAAUAUAUCAUCUUAUGAAUAAAGUCUCUCUGAGCUCAUGGGAUCUUUUGGUGUGUUUCUUUUGAGUGAUUCUUAAAUUAAUAAAUCAGCUCAAAUGAGACUUACUUGAUGAGAAAUGAGCUGUAAGAUCUACAGCAGCAAACACCAACAAAACUGACGACUUUGACACGGGACAGAAAUAAACAAGCUUUAAGACUCAUCAAACUUCAUGAGUUUCAGAGCAGAUGAGAAGAACUUCAGUCAGGAGUUCACAAGACUUUGAGGAUGUUUGGUUGUUACAUAGACUAACUAGUUGACUGAACAAGAUCACAUGAUGCUUCUAGUCACCCGUGGUUGUUUUCUGUGUUUGCAAGGUUUUGUCUACAAAAAACACCCAUGAUAAAAGAAAGACCAGUGGUCUGAGUGUCAGUCCUUCAUGCGAAGACUCCUGGUUUGAAUCUCAUUCUUAAACAUUUUUACUUUGUUUUUGACUGAAUAAAUCAGACAAAACUCAAAACAAUGAGAAGUGCAUAAGUGCCAGGGGCACAGCGGUCUAAAUCUCAGACCUUGACGUGGGCGAUCCUGAUUCUAAUCUCUCUCUUGAUGAGGAAAAUUAGAUUUGUUUCACUGGUUUUUGAAUGAAUAGAAAAGACAAAACUCUUAAAAAAAAAGGAACAGGAAGUGUGAAAGCACCAGUGGUGCGGCGGCCUGAACAUCAGCCUUUGACGUAGGAAGUCCUGAUUCGAAUCCUUCUCCUGAAGUGGGAAAAUUGUUUAGUUUCACUGGUUUUUCAAUGGAAAAAUGGACAAAAAUCCCCCCCAAAAAAAGCAAAAAGUGGAAAUGGACCAGUGGUGCAGUGGUCUGAACAUCAGCCUUUGCGUAGAAAGUCCUGGUUCGAAUCCCUCUCCUGAAGUGGGAAAAUUGUUUAGUUUCACUGUUUUUCACUAGUUUCACGGUUUUUCAAUGGAAAAAUGGACAAAAAUCCCCCCCAAAAAAGUAACAAGGGGAAAUGGACCAGUGGUGCAGCGGUCUGAACAUCAGCCUUUGACGUGGGAAGUCCUGGUUCGAAUCCCUCUCCUGAAGUGGAAAAAUUGUUUAGUUUCACUGGU